This 225-nucleotide ribosomal RNA is filed under the name uncultured bacterium. RNAcentral's name for it is "partial 16S ribosomal RNA". It matches the Rfam family "Bacterial small subunit ribosomal RNA", at positions 116 to 334 of the family's 1533-position model. The record is from RNAcentral.
CGUGGGUAACCUACCCAUCAGAGGGGGAUAACACUUGGAAACAGGCGCUAAUACCGCAUAACAGUUUAUGCCGCAUGGCAUAAGAGUGAAAGGCGCUUUCGGGUGUCGCUGAUGGAUGGACCCGCGGUGUAUUAGCUAGUUGGUGAGGUAACGGCUCACCAAGGCCACGAUGCAUAGCCGACCUGAGAGGGUGAUCGGCCACACUGGGACUGAGACACGGCCCAG